RNAcentral lists this transfer RNA (86 nucleotides) under Microlunatus soli. Its description in RNAcentral is "tRNA_Leu_CAA". It matches the Rfam family "tRNA". Rfam says of the family: Transfer RNA (tRNA) molecules are approximately 80 nucleotides in length. Their secondary structure includes four short double-helical elements and three loops (D, anti-codon, and T loops). The record is from RNAcentral. Lineage: Bacteria; Bacillati; Actinomycetota; Actinomycetes; Propionibacteriales; Propionibacteriaceae.
GCCGAGGUGGCGGAAUGGUAUACGCGGACGGCUCAAACCCGUCUGCCCGCAAGGGCGUAGGGGUUCGACUCCCCUCCUCGGCACCC